This 497-nucleotide ribosomal RNA is filed under the name uncultured bacterium. Its description in RNAcentral is "partial 16S ribosomal RNA". It matches the Rfam family "Bacterial small subunit ribosomal RNA", at positions 28 to 507 of the family's 1533-position model. The record is from RNAcentral.
GAUGAACGCUGGCGGCGUGCCUAAUACAUGCAAGUCGAGCGAACGGACGAGAAGCUUGCUUCUCUGACGUUAGCGGCGGACGGGUGAGUAACACGUGGAUAACCUACCUAUAAGACUGGGAUAACUUCGGGAAACCGGAGCUAAUACCGGAUGAUAUUUUGAACCGCAUGGUUCAACAGUGAAAGACGGUCUUGCUGUCACUUAUAGAUGGAUCCGCGCUGCAUUAGCUAGUUGGUAAGGUAACGGCUUACCAAGGCAACGAUGCAUAGCCGACCUGAGAGGGUGAUCGGCCACACUGGAACUGAGACACGGUCCAGACUCCUACGGGAGGCAGCAGUAGGGAAUCUUCCGCAAUGGGCGAAAGCCUGACGGAGCAACGCCGCGUGAGUGAUGAAGGUCUUCGGAUCGUAAAACUCUGUUAUUAGGGAAGAACAUAUGUGUAAGUAACUGUGCACAUCUUGACGGUACCUAAUCAGAAAGCCACGGCUAACUACGUG